CACGACUCCUCCUGGAGAAGGGGAAAGUUCCACCAUGAACCAGGAGGACAGAACAACUGAGCCCACUGCCAACACCUCCCCUUCCCUCCCUGCCACAUCCCUGACAACCCCAUCCCCGACAAACCUCAAUACAGCAACAUCUGUCAAUCCUUCUAUUACUACAACUUGUUUGACAGAGUCCAUCAGAGUACAGAAUGUGACUGCAGAAGAAAUUCACCUCAGCUGGAGCAGCAGCAGCAGCACAGGCGGCCUCUACAGCAUCUCUGUCAAGGAUGGAAAUGAGAUAAAUACAAGAACUACAAAUGAGACAGAAACUGUGAUUGAAAACCUGCUUCCUGGCCAUGUGUACACCAUUUCUGUGGCACUGUCAUCUUGUGCUGGGAGCAAUCCUGCUUCAGUCACUGUCCGAACAGAUUAUGGUUCCUGUUUCAAAGGGACUGAGUUUUGUUUAGCACAAAGUACUGGCUGUUCUGACUUGAAAGGCGUGGCGUGCUCCAAUAACCAAGCAUUUUCCUGCAAAGUUCGGUUGGAAAAUGAGAAAUUUAAUAAUACACUUUAUAACUCUGAUAGUGAAGGCUACAUAAAUAUGUCUAAAAGACUCAAAACAGAGGUUCUUGAAGCAAUGAACGCUGAACUGGGGAAUAACCACUCUGAUAUUUUCAUUCUGGGGUUCAGAUCUGGCAGUGUUAUUGCUGAUUUUCUCUUUCUGCUGCCAAAAGAAGAAGCCAUGGAUGUGGGUGACAUUCAGACCCGCCUGAGUAAUGUAUUAACGAGCAAGUUUGGGAGCCAAAGUGAAGUGGAAACUGUGUCUGUUCAGACACCAGAUGACAACAUCUCCUCCUGGAGAGCAGCAGUGAUUGUCCUUGGAGUUCUGCUGGGAGUUGCAUUAGUGGUGAUUCUGCUGGCAAUUCUGUUUUACAUCCAUGGGAGGAGAAGAUCAGGUAAAUACUUGGUUCAACCCUCAGGACUCAUCGGAAUGUUUGUCUACAAGCACUUAUAAGAUAAAACAUCAGCUUCACUUAAAAAUUUUGGGCAAGGCAGAAAAUUAAUAUAUUUAUCUUAUAAUUUGAUGUUAUUAUUAUAUUAUAUAUAUAUACUGAUGUUAUUAUUAUAUUAAUUGUGCAUAAUAACUUAGGAUAAUUUACACCCUUUCCUUCCCAAUGUCCAUUGUCAAACUCCUGAGCUUCUAACAACACCUAAUGAAUCUUCCUUUAAACAGGUAUGGAUUUUUCUUCAUUGUACACAUGGUAGAGUGAGGAACAGAGAAACUUCUCUUCAGCCUAUCCCAUAUAGGUACUGCAAUGACUUUAACACUGGCAAUCUAGAGAGACAAGACCCAAACUACUCAAUAUUAUAUUUAGGUGGCACUGAAAACAGGGUGACUGAGCCUGGUAGCUGUGGCAGGUCACCUGAAUGCUCAGCUGAGCCCAGAGUCAUCCUGUUGAGUUUUGUGCACUUGCCCAAGGGUGAUUCACCUCCCCUGAGACUCCUAUCACUGUAUAAAAUUACAUAUAUAUAUAUAUAUAUAUAUAUAUAUAUAUAUAUAUAUAUAUAUAUAUAUAUAUAUAUAUAUAUAUAUAUAUAUAUAUAUAUAUAUAUGCCUUUUUCUCUCCUGUGACUGUAGAAUGAGCCCAGGGUAAUUAGCAAUCCAGCAUUUGCAGCUUGAUUAGGAGUUUGGAGAAAAAUGGGAUACAUCUCAGUUAUGUGCGCUUGCUGUAGAAGUCUGCUGGACAGAAACUUGAUUUGGAGGUUUCUGAAUUCAAGGUUUCUUUAAUUGCUUAAUAUGAAGAAAUAACUGUUUAUAUGUGUCAAAUGUAAGGCGUGCUAAAUCCAGCUGUGGUCUCACAGCAUAGUCUCAGAGGUGGGGAAGGCAAACAUUUGGUCCAUUUGAGCCAAAAGUAUUUUAUUCACCUAUUUUUGCCUGUCAGAAAUGGUUGGCUGAGCAAGGACAUGCCAUAUAGUGCAAUUCUGUCCUGCUCUUGAUAAUCCCAAAGUAGAGCCCAGUCCAACAGAAGCGACUCCUGUGGCAUUGGAGACCUUGCUUCAGAUUUCUUCUAAUUGCUCUAGAGCAAUUACAAGAAAUGAUCUUCACCUUUUCCCACCACUCUUCCCUGCAGUCCUGGUGGAGUUUCAUUCUGUUUCUACUGUGGUGCAGUUUUUCCUGCUUGGAAUGUGCUGAACAGAUGACAAAGGGGCAGUUUACUGCUCUACAUAUUUCCAGCAGGAUUUAUGGGUUUCAUUUCAAACCAGCCCUCCCUGUAUCUGUAUAUUUGGAAUUCCCAUUGAGGCACUGAGUAUUAACCCAUGCUGUUGAGGCCCUGGCUCACAGCCCCUGAACACCCCUGGUUUUUGGGUUUUUUUGUGGUUAUUUGGCACAGAUUUGGGUACAUUGGUGCCAGAACUGCAACACAAGCAGAGGUGCACCAGCAGCUCUGCUCUGCUCCCUGUGCAGCCAGCAUUCAUCCUUCUCAUCCCUCAUUCCCUGUGCUGUGACACAGCUCCUGGAACAGCCCUGCUGAGGACCCUGGCUGCAAUAUUAUUUUUAGCAGCAGGGACCUAUGAAACAGGGGCUUGCAUGCCUUGCACUCCCUUUCCUUCCAUGGAGGGUCAAUUUGUCUGUCCUGGCUAAGAUCUGGGGUGUGGAGUCACAGACACCUCAGUGGUGGGAAGAGAGUGAUUAGUAUUUGUUACAUUUCUAUUUUGUGGCUUUUAAAUAUAGCUAGCUCUGGUGUUCCACUCACUGAGUAGGCAUUCAGCAAUGUAUUCUGUCAGUAAAUACAAGUUAUCCAGGGAGCUCUGUUGAAAAUAAAAAUGAGUGCUCUUGCUUGUGUUAAUACUCU
Long non-coding RNA from Zonotrichia albicollis (white-throated sparrow), 2840 nucleotides. Lineage: Eukaryota; Metazoa; Chordata; Aves; Passeriformes; Passerellidae. The record is from Ensembl.